UGGGGAAUAUUGCACAAUGGGCGCAAGCCUGAUGCAGCCAUGCCGCGUGUGUGAAGAAGGCCUUCGGGUUGUAAAGCACUUUCAGCGAGGAGGAAGGUGGUGAGCUUAAUACGCUCAUCAAUUGACGUUACUCGCAGAAGAAGCACCGGCUAACUCCGUGCCAGCAGCCGCGGUAAUACGGAGGGUGCAAGCGUUAAUCGGAAUUACUGGGCGUAAAGCGCACGCAGGCGGUUUGUUAAGUCAGAUGUGAAAUCCCCGGGCUCAACCUGGGAACUGCAUUUGAAACUGGCAAGCUAGAGUCUCGUAGAGGGGGUAGAAUUCCAGGUGUAGCGGUGAAAUGCGUAGAGAUCUGGAGGAAUACCGGUGGCGAAGGCGGCCCCCUGGACGAAGACUGACGCUCAGGUGCGAAAGCGUGGGGAGCAAAACAGGAUUAGAUACCCUGGUAGUCCACGCUGUAAAACGAUGUCGAUUUUGGAGGUUGUGCCCUUGAGGCGUGGCUUCCGGAGCUAACGCGUUAAAUCGACCGCCUGGGGAGUACGGCCG
Molecule: ribosomal RNA, 543 nt
Filed under: uncultured bacterium
Lineage: Bacteria
Description: partial 16S ribosomal RNA
Rfam family: Bacterial small subunit ribosomal RNA
Source: RNAcentral